AAUUCUCAGGCCGGGGGUCUCUUUUCAGAGUCGCCUUAGUCUGGCAUUGGGCUUUGCUGUGUCCAUUGAUUGGAAUGGCUGGCCUUAAAGACAUUAGCUGACCUAAGAUGUGGAAUUGGUUCUACUCAGCGUGAUAAUGACCUGACCGUUGAGGACAUCUUUCGUGAUGGCCAGUUCCCAUUUGGGUUGCUUCUAAUCAUGGUAUCUUGGGUCCGUUUUGUGGAUCUGAUUUACUUUCUUUCA
Molecule: unclassified non-coding RNA, 243 nt
Filed under: uncultured Clavulina
Lineage: Eukaryota; Fungi; Basidiomycota; Agaricomycetes; Cantharellales; Hydnaceae
Description: sequence contains ITS2
Source: RNAcentral